Grus americana (Whooping crane) is the source of this 634-nucleotide long non-coding RNA. RefSeq lists it as uncharacterized. The record is from RefSeq and is a predicted model, not a curated record. Lineage: Eukaryota; Metazoa; Chordata; Aves; Gruiformes; Gruidae. The transcript is spliced from 4 exons.
CCCAGCAGCACAGGCUGGCUGCAGCUGGCUGCUCAUUUCCUUGUGGAUCUACUGGAACCGGAUUAGGACAGAUACAAGCUCCAAGACACAGGACAUCCAAAAAUCCUCCAGAUGAGGACUCUUACUUUAAGAAUCCUGUCUACUAUCCAGGAAAAUAAGCUGAGAGUUAGCCCCCACAUGCACACCACCCCAGCGACCACAAGUGCCAACUGCAGAGGAAGUCAUCUCAACUUUAGGUUGUUGCAUACCCACUACAGACAGAAGCUGAUUGUCCAUAAACAACAAUAAUCGCAGCUCUUUGCAAAAAAGAACACAGAACAGCAACCCGCGUCUGCAGCUGAUUAAUGAGUUUCUCUUUUUCAUGACAUUCAGCAUCCAGAGUCGUGUUCUCCCGACGCAGUGACAGCACCUCCUGCUUUGCUCUUUGACAUUCCUAGAAUGGUGGGAAGGAAUAAUUUCAUUUUAAUUUUUUUUAAGAAAACCCAUAAUAGCAAUUUAAACAGAUAUAUCUAAAUAGCAAGCAUAAUGUGGAACAAAGAGGAGCUGAACAAACUUAAUAUGCUAUAUUUUCUAUUACAUGCAUAGGCAGGCAGUGUUAAUGCUCUAAAAUAGUUUGGUUACGGAAAUUAAUAAC